This is a long non-coding RNA of Numida meleagris (helmeted guineafowl), 2413 nucleotides long. RefSeq lists it as uncharacterized. The transcript has 7 exons. The record is from RefSeq and is a predicted model, not a curated record. Lineage: Eukaryota; Metazoa; Chordata; Aves; Galliformes; Numididae.
UGCCCCUAUUCUGGUGAUGGGAACAGCUGAUGUGAGUUCCUGGGCAGCAUCUCAGCUGUGAGAAUUGAGGCAUUACCAGGACAUUGGUGUGCUGCCUGAUGUGAGUGCUGUGGAAGGCUGCGAACAGAAGGAAAUGCAUGGACAAUGCCCAGGGAAUGCAGGUGUGGAAGUUGUGAUGGGUGAUAGUCAAGCUUCUCCAGCUGGAAAGAAAAGACUGGCUUGUCACUACACUCCACUCUCUUUUACAAUCAACAGAAGAGCACCAGAAAUCCCAUCCACAUGUCUUCAAAGUUCUCAAGGAGCACUGGAUUUGGAAUGAUAAAUGCCUAAAACUCCUUAUUGCUAUCAGGCUGAAGCCCAAACAAUACUUCCAGGUUAUCUACAAGAAGUAUAGUGGAAAGAAUGCUGAAUGCAGACUGUAGUGAAUGGGACAAGUCAUUUACUUGUCCACACAAGUGGAUACAAAUAAGAUACUGCACAGCAUAAGCAAUAUCCCUCUUCAAAGAAGAGAAGGAUUCAAGCUGACCCUUAUCAACUACUUACUGCAUAACUGAUGAUAAUUCAAUUUCCAGCUUCUGUUAUUAUGGCGUUCAUUAGAUUCUCAUCAACUGCAUGAAGUAACCAGUCAGUUACAGGUUUUGGCCACGGAAACAGCAGUAAAAUGGCUAUAAAGUCAAACUGUCUGGAAGAGCAAUUUCAGAUGCUACAAUUCACACCAGUGCUCAGAUAUUCCUCUGCUGUAUGCUGCUAAUGCCUUCCUUGGACUCGCAACAAUCCUGUGUCUAAAGACAGUGUGAUUGCCAAGGUUUGAUCCAAGUGUGAGAGCUGCAGGAUUUGGACACAGGUCACUGACGGAAACAAGACCGUGCUUACUAUUGAAUUAAAUAACAGAUCUGGCUGAGCAGUCAUUGAAUUAUAUCAGUGGAGUUUCUUCCCUUCCACAUCGUUUCACUUCUGUCUUUUUCCACCAAAUAUACUUCCUGUAUUUUUCACUGUGUUUGAGGCACACAUUAUUGUUUUCAUAAUUAUAUUCUUGUCUAAUGUAGUACCAGAAGAGGUACAGUCACUUGUUUGAAAAGCAGAACACAACAUUCAUUGGUGGCAUUAAUUUAGCCCUCUGAGCCACAGGAUCUCAAAAUGCUGCACUUACCCAAUCUUCAAUAUUUCUGUAGGACAACGUAUAUUGAAAGAAAUAUACAAGUUUAAAGCAAAAGAGGGCAACAGCACCUAUUUUUUUCCUUCGUUGUCCUUUACGGAAAAACAUCUGGAUAUCUGGUAAAGCUGCUCACAAUUUGAACUACUGUCUGAGGUCAUUCAAAGUCUGUUAAUGGAAACAGAUUUAACAUACCCUUAAUUUGGAUGUCAGGAGCUUAGGUCUCAAAUGUGUGGCAAUUAAUGUGCUGUUGUCAGGAAGAUCCACAAGUGAAUUGGACUUGCCAGUAGUAACCCUUGGGGGAGCUAUUUUACACCUGCUGCUAAUCAUUCAUACAUGUGGAACAGCCUUUAGAACAAGCCUGGUGCAGGUGGAUAAAAGACUUGAUUUAUUGACCUGUUUUCCCAGUCUUAUUGAAAUGAAUUUUAAAGUCUUUCAGUUAUUAAUUCCUGUAGAUUAGCUAGUAUGGAAGCUGUUUAUAUUUGGGCAUUGAGAUAGAGAUGAAAGUAUAAGAGCAGCUCUUUAACCUUUGAGGAGACCCUUAUAUUUAGUUGCCUGCAUUAACUUAAUGAUUAAUUUCUUAUUCAAUUUCCUGUUACAGUGGAGUCCAGGAAGGCGACUGGCAAUUUAGCAGCACUGAUAGAUGUGGGUGACUUAGAGUAUAGGACUGCAAUGCUAAUACCUCUUUCUACAAAGUACAAGUACUAUAAGUAAACUCAUUCAAAAAAAUAUUCAGUCUUAGAUUCUUGAGGAAUUGUCAGAUGUGUUAUGGGUGCUAUAAUUCAGGAACUGUUGAUUUCUCAGUGUGAAGAUAAUCAGAAGGAGACAAAAAAGUCCUCUGGAGAGUAGCUUCAGAAGAUAUUAGCAACACAUAUAAAUUAUAAAGCUGGUAGACUUCAGAGUUAUUUCUGUUCAGCAAAGGCAUAUUUUUUUAGCUGUGUGAAGGCAGUAUGAGUUCAUGCUGUGCAUUUCCCUCAGUAGCUGGAAUCCUGCUAAUUUUGUAUAAGUCUUUAAUAUGUGUGUGCAAAGCAGUUACAAGGUAUCAGUAUCAUAUCUACUAAUUUUCAAGCAAUGUAAGUGAAAUAAUUUGAUUGGAGAAAAAAAUAGAUGCGGAUAAAUGAAGUUUGUUUGGAUCAGUAAUUGGCUGACGCUGACUGACACCGAUCAGAAUGGCAUGAACAGAAGUCCCUGUCAGCUAUGUGUAGAUUGCUCUCCUGAGCUUAUGUUAUCAAAUUCAUGAAGCAAACAAACAAAACAAAA